This is a long non-coding RNA of Schistocerca serialis cubense, 369 nucleotides long. RefSeq lists it as uncharacterized. The record is from RefSeq and is a predicted model, not a curated record. NCBI's taxonomy places the organism in Eukaryota, Metazoa, Arthropoda, Insecta, Orthoptera, Acrididae. The transcript has 3 exons.
UGCCGUGCGGUCGGCCGGUUGACCAAGCAAGAAACGUACGGAAAUCUUCCAGUGAUUUGCAAAUAUCGUGCCACAUUAAACAUUAACAACAACAAAAAAUUAAUAUUCCUUUCGGGCUAGCAGAUAAUCGAGAGAUUAAAACUGUGCAGUGGACGGGCCUGAACUCCACACCUCAGUACUUGGAGCUCCUGUUAGUUGCCACUUCUAACCCAAACGCCACAGCAGCUCUGCAGGAAGCGACGAAGGAAGCCCAGUGUUUUAAUAGGCCCUGUUCCUGGAACGCCAUGCUUACGAGAAAAGAAUCUGGUACACAAAGAAACGUGCAUUUGAUGAAGAUAAAAGAAUAUAUUGAGCGAAAGUAAAAAAUUU